AUAAAUCGAAGAGGUCGCAACCGACAAAAGUAACUAGUGGAAUUUCUGCAAGAAUGAAGAAGCUAGUGAAAGGGGAAGUUGCCGAAGCGUUAAUUAUUGCAGUAGUUAAUUAGCUGGGACGUAGUUGAAGAGAUUACGGACUGUCGCAAAUUUAAAUUUGCGGAGCGCUAUCGACAAAA
Molecule: regulatory RNA element, 179 nt
Rfam family: Lysine riboswitch aptamer
About the family: Riboswitches are metabolite binding domains within certain messenger RNAs that serve as precision sensors for their corresponding targets. Allosteric rearrangement of mRNA structure is mediated by ligand binding, and this results in modulation of gene expression.
Source: Rfam